Non-coding RNA from Hordeum vulgare subsp. vulgare (domesticated barley), 136 nucleotides. The record is from Rfam. Lineage: Eukaryota; Viridiplantae; Streptophyta; Magnoliopsida; Poales; Poaceae.
CUUAUACUCCCUCCUUCCCAAGAUUCUUGUCUUAGAUUUGUCUAGAAAUGAAUGUAUCUAGAUACUAUAAUGUGACUAGAUACAUUCAUAUCUAAACAAAUCUAAGACAAGAAUUAUGGGACAGAGGGAGUAGUAA